ACAAGGUUUCCGUAGGUGAACCUGCGGAGGGAUCAUUGAAACCGAUCAAACCAAUCACAGAGCACCUGCGGGCGCUCGCUCCCCUCGGGGGGCGAGGGCCCGCCGUUUACAGGAUCCGCCGGCGCGUGAGCUCCCCUCGGGGGGCGACCGCGCCGGGCCGGAGCCCUAACCCAUUGAACCCUCUGCCCUGAAGCAGCUUCGCACGGGGACACCCCUGCGAUAGUAACUGAGACAACUCACAACAACGGAUAUCUUGGCUCUCGCAACGAUGAAGAACGCAGCGAAAUGCGAUACGUAGUGUGAAUUGCAGAAUUCCGUGAGUCAUCGAAUCUUUGAACGCACAUUGCCGGUCGACUCUUCGGAGGAGACCACAUCUGCCUCAGCGUCGGAAUACCCCCUCACGCACCCCCGCGUGGACCUGGCCCCCCCGGACGCCUCGGCGCCCGGGCCGGCUGAAAUGCAGAGGCUCGUGCGCGGCCCAUUCGUGGCCCCGACUAGGUAGGUAGCUCGCUACUUCUAGGCGGUGGCUCGGUGUCGCGUGCUGUGGGCCCGAAAGGAUACCAAUCCAUUCAUUCGACCUGAGUUCAGGUGAGGCUACCCGCUGAACUUAAGCAUAUCAAUAAGCGGAGGAUAAGAAACUAAA
RNAcentral lists this ribosomal RNA (643 nucleotides) under Ulva prolifera. RNAcentral describes it as "eukaryotic LSU rRNA". The stretch from base 234 to 388 matches the Rfam family "5.8S ribosomal RNA". The record is from RNAcentral. Lineage: Eukaryota; Viridiplantae; Chlorophyta; Ulvophyceae; Ulvales; Ulvaceae.